Molecule: ribosomal RNA, 484 nt
Filed under: uncultured bacterium
Lineage: Bacteria
Description: partial 16S ribosomal RNA
Rfam family: Bacterial small subunit ribosomal RNA
Source: RNAcentral
AGUGAACGCUGGCGGCGUGCUUAACACAUGCAAGUCGAACGAGAACGGAUUAUAGCUUGCUAUAAUUGUCAGCUAAGUGGCGCACGGGUGAGUAAUGUAUAGGUAAUAUGCCUCUUACUAAGGGAUAACAAAUGGAAACGUUCGCUAAUACCUUAUACUCCUUAUUAACAGAAGUUAAUAAGGGAAAGAUUUAUUGGUAAGAGAUUAGCCUGUAUUGUAUCAGUUAGUUGGUGGGGUAAUGGCUUACCAAGACUAUGACACAUAACUGGUUUGAGAGGAUGAUCAGUCACACUGGAACUGAGACACGGUCCAGACUCCUACGGGAGGCAGCAGUGGGGAAUAUUGCACAAUGGACGGAAGUCUGAUGCAGCAACGCCGCGUGGAGGAUGACACAUUUCGGUGCGUAAACUCCUUUUAUAUGAGAAGAUAAUGACGGUAUUAUAUGAAUAAGCACCGGCUAACUCCGUGCCAGCCGCCGCUGUAA